AUCACUUCUUGGCUUUUUGGCUAAUAUCAAGUGUAGUAUCUGUUCUUAUCAGUUUAAUAUCUGAUACAUCCUCUAUCUGAGGACAAUAUAUUAAAUGGAUUUUUGGAGCAGGGAGUUGGAAUAGGAGCUUGCUCCGUCCACUCCACGCAUCAGCCUGGUAUUGCAGUACUUCCAGGAACGGUGCAGAAAAA
RNAcentral lists this small nuclear RNA (191 nucleotides) under Carlito syrichta (Philippine tarsier). RNAcentral's name for it is "U2 spliceosomal RNA (ENSTSYG00000030734.1)". It matches the Rfam family "U2 spliceosomal RNA". Rfam says of the family: U2 is a small nuclear RNA (snRNA) component of the spliceosome (involved in pre-mRNA splicing). Complementary binding between U2 snRNA (in an area lying towards the 5' end but 3' to hairpin I) and the branchpoint sequence (BPS) of the intron results the bulging out of an unpaired adenosine, on the BPS, which initiates a nucleophilic attack at the intronic 5' splice site, thus starting the first of two transesterification reactions that mediate splicing. Lineage: Eukaryota; Metazoa; Chordata; Mammalia; Primates; Tarsiidae. The record is from Rfam by way of RNAcentral.